This 68-nucleotide transfer RNA is filed under the name Thoracotermes macrothorax. RNAcentral's name for it is "tRNA-Cys". The record is from RNAcentral. Lineage: Eukaryota; Metazoa; Arthropoda; Insecta; Blattodea; Termitidae.
GGUCUUGUAUUCAUUGUGUGAUUAUAGAAUGCAAUUCUAUAGGGGUGAGUCAGAACUUAUCAAGGCCU